UGGGGAAUUUUGCACAAUGGGGGAAACCCUGAUGCAGCGACGCCGCGUGAUUUAGAAGGCCUUCGGGUUGUAAAAAUCUUUUUUACGGGAUGAAAAUGACAGUACCGUAAGAAUAAGGUCCGGCUAAAUACGUGCCAGCAGCCGAGGUAAUACGUAUGGACCGAGCGUUGUCCGGAAUCAUUGGGCGUAAAGGGUACGUAGGCGGCCUAAUAAGUUAGAAGUGAAAGAAUAUAGCUCAACUAUAUAAAGCUUUUAAAACUGUUAGGCUUGAGAGAUGAAAGGGAAAGUGGGAUUCCUAGUGUAGCGGUGAAAUGCGCAGAUAUUAGGAAGAAUACCGGUGGCGAAGGCGACUUUCUGGUCAUCAUCUGACGCUGAGGUACGAAAGCGUGGGUAGCAAACAGG
RNAcentral lists this ribosomal RNA (402 nucleotides) under bacterium. RNAcentral's name for it is "partial 16S ribosomal RNA". It matches the Rfam family "Bacterial small subunit ribosomal RNA", at positions 355 to 776 of the family's 1533-position model. The record is from RNAcentral.